Long non-coding RNA from Capra hircus (goat), 1013 nucleotides. RefSeq lists it as uncharacterized. Lineage: Eukaryota; Metazoa; Chordata; Mammalia; Artiodactyla; Bovidae. The transcript is spliced from 3 exons. The record is from RefSeq and is a predicted model, not a curated record.
AGCCCUUAUCUGUGCCUUACUUCUCAUUUGUGCAAGUCAGACUUCACUUGAUGAUGAUGGCUUUCUCAGGAGAGGGUGAAGGAGUUCACUGAGGAUGCCUUAGUGCAAAAUCUCAUGCAGAAACUUCUGCUAGUGGGAGCUGACACUCCAGUGCACACUGGGCACCUGUGGAGGACUUUCUCCUAGUGCCUUUAUGGACUCAACAACAUCUGGCAUGCAGGCCACAAAGCAGUUGCCUGAAACAUGCAACCAAAGAGGACACUGCAAGAAAGAACCACCAUGCCAGCUCCCAAACAUGGCAGAGGAUUGAAAACAGUGGAGUGCUUAAAAGACAUGGGUCUGGAACUACACCCCUAUUCUGCCACUUUCAAGAUCUCUGGCGUUCACAUGCAGGAAAGAGGGAUGAGGGUCAGAACUGAAACUCUGGAGAAAUGAUCCAGGAAAUGGAAGAAGGUAACAGACAAACCAUAAUGCUUGCUGAAUAACUCGCCAAGCACGAUGAAGGUACACAGAGCAUAAUAUCUCCUUUUAUCCUCUCUCAACAGCUCUGUAAGAUACAUACUGGUCUUAAUUAUCCCCUUCUUACAGAGGAGAAAAAUAAUGCACAGGAAACAUAAACACUUUCCCAAAAUAAAUGGCUAUGCUCAUAUUUGAACUGUGAUGUUUUGCCUUUUCUACCAUUCUGAUAAAUUGCCCUCCAUCCCAUAUGAAUGAGCAAAAUUACUCUAUAUGCAAUUAUGCAUAUGUUAUGUAUGUUUACAGUAAAAGGUCUGUCUUCACAUGUUUAGUGUAUUGCAUGUCCAUCAUUAAAUUAUUUUGCAAAUGUUCAUUAUGAGUAAUAUUUAUGCCCACAUCAGGUGAAUAAUGUUGACAUCUCUUUAAGUUAAAGGCAUCAAAGGGUUUUUUUUUUUAAUAGAAACUGUAAAACAUUUAUUUAAAAACAUUGUUUUAAGCUCCCACUUCCUGAGUCAGACUGACGGCUCUAGGAGAUGAUUGUCAUGUGCUCAUUUCCA